RNAcentral lists this ribosomal RNA (464 nucleotides) under uncultured bacterium. Its description in RNAcentral is "bacterial SSU rRNA". It matches the Rfam family "Bacterial small subunit ribosomal RNA", at positions 335 to 793 of the family's 1533-position model. The record is from RNAcentral.
AUCCUACGGGAGGCAGCAGUGGGGAAUAUUGCACAAUGGGCGCAAGCCUGAUGCAGCCAUGCCGCGUGUAUGAAGAAGGCCUUCGGGUUGUAAAGUACUUUCAGCAGUGAGGAAGGUGGGUAUGUUAAUAGCAUAUUCAUUUGACGUUAGCUGCAGAAGAAGCACCGGCUAACUCCGUGCCAGCAGCCGCGGUAAUACGGAGGGUGCGAGCGUUAAUCGGAAUUACUGGGCGUAAAGCGCAUGCAGGUGGUUUGUUAAGUCAGAUGUGAAAGCCCGGGGCUCAACCUCGGAAUUGCAUUUGAAACUGGCAAACUAGAGUACUGUAGAGGGGGUAGAAUUUCAGGUGUAGCGGUGAAAUGCGUAGAGAUCUGAAGGAAUACCGGUGGCGAAGGCGGCCCCCUGGACAGAUACUGACACUCAGAUGCGAAAGCGUGGGGAGCAAACAGGAUUAGAUACCAUGGUAG